UGGUUAGACGCGGCUGGAGGCCAAGGUCAAGUUGAAAGUUGCAGUCUGGCCACAUUAAACUUUUUACAGCAA
This is a non-coding RNA of Xyrichtys novacula (pearly razorfish), 72 nucleotides long. The record is from the annotation of a GenBank genome assembly. NCBI's taxonomy places the organism in Eukaryota, Metazoa, Chordata, Actinopteri, Labriformes, Labridae.